This 274-nucleotide ribosomal RNA is filed under the name uncultured bacterium. RNAcentral describes it as "partial 16S ribosomal RNA". It matches the Rfam family "Bacterial small subunit ribosomal RNA", at positions 523 to 796 of the family's 1533-position model. The record is from RNAcentral.
AUACGUAGGUGGCAAGCGUUGUCCGGAUUUACUGGGCGUAAAGGGAGCGCAGGUGGCUCAUCAAGUCUGGGGUGAAAUCUCCCGGCUCAACCGGGAGGGGUCUCUGGAUACUGAUGGGCUUGAGGGAAGCAGAGGAGAGCGGAAUUCCCGGUGUAGCGGUGAUAUGCGUAGAUAUCGGGAGGAACACCAGUGGCGAAGGCGGCUCUCUGGGCUUUUCCUGACGCUGAGGCUCGAAAGCGUGGGGAGCGAACCGGAUUAGAAACCCCAGUAGUCC